This 597-nucleotide ribosomal RNA is filed under the name Sordaria macrospora. Its description in RNAcentral is "LSU rRNA". It matches the Rfam family "Eukaryotic large subunit ribosomal RNA", at positions 77 to 700 of the family's 3401-position model. Lineage: Eukaryota; Fungi; Ascomycota; Sordariomycetes; Sordariales; Sordariaceae. The record is from RNAcentral.
GCCCUAGUAACGGCGAGUGAAGCGGCAACAGCUCAAAUUUGAAAUCUGGCUUCGGCCCGAGUUGUAAUUUGUAGAGGAAACUUUUGGUGAGGCACCUUCUGAGUCCCUUGGAACAGGGCGCCAUAGAGGGUGAGAGCCCCGUAUAGUCGGAUGCCGAUCCAAUGUAAAGUUCCUUCGACGAGUCGAGUAGUUUGGGAAUGCUGCUCAAAAUGGGAGGUAAAUUUCUUCUAAAGCUAAAUAUAGGCCAGAGACCGAUAGCGCACAAGUAGAGUGAUCGAAAGAUGAAAAGCACUUUGAAAAGAGGGUUAAAUAGCACGUGAAAUUGUUGAAAGGGAAGCGUUUGUGACCAGACUUGCGCCGUUCCGAUCAUCCGGUGUUCUCACCGGUGCACUCGGGGCGGCUCAGGCCAGCAUCGGUUUUGGUGGGGGGAUAAAGGUCCAGGGAACGUAGCUCCUCCGGGAGUGUUAUAGCCCUGGGCGUAAUGCCCUCGCUGGGACCGAGGUUCGCGCAUCUGCAAGGAUGCUGGCGUAAUGGUCAUCAACGACCCGUCUUGAAACACGGACCAAGGAGUCAAGGUUUUGCGCGAGUGUUUGGGUG